RNAcentral lists this ribosomal RNA (400 nucleotides) under uncultured bacterium. RNAcentral's name for it is "bacterial SSU rRNA". It matches the Rfam family "Bacterial small subunit ribosomal RNA", at positions 355 to 772 of the family's 1533-position model. The record is from RNAcentral.
UGGGGAAUAUUGGACAAUGGGCGAAAGCCUGAUCCAGCAAUACCGCGUGAGUGAUGAAGGUCUUCGGAUUGUAAAGCUCUUUUAGUAGGGAAGAUAAUGACGGUACCUACAGAAAAAGCACCGGCAAACUUCGUGCCAGCAGCCGCGGUAAUACGAAGGGUGCUAGCGUUGUUCGGAAUCACUGGGCGUAAAGCGUUCGUAGGCGGUUUAGUAAGUCAAUUGUGAAAGCCCCAGGCUUAACUUGGGAACUGCAAUUGAUACUGCUUUUCUAGAAUAUGGUGGGGGAUAGUGGAAUUCCUAGUGUAGGGGUGAAAUCCGUAGAUAUUAGGAGGAAUACCGGUGGCGAAAGCGACUAUCUAUGCCAUUAUUGACGCUAAGGAACGAAAGCGUGGGGAGCAAA